GGGGAAUUAGCUCAGUUGGCUAGAGCGUUUGCAUGGCAUGCAAGAGGUCAUCAGUUCGACUCCGAUAUUCUCACU
RNAcentral lists this transfer RNA (75 nucleotides) under Bacteroidota bacterium. Its description in RNAcentral is "Bacteroidetes bacterium (activated sludge metagenome) tRNA-Ala". It matches the Rfam family "tRNA". Rfam says of the family: Transfer RNA (tRNA) molecules are approximately 80 nucleotides in length. Their secondary structure includes four short double-helical elements and three loops (D, anti-codon, and T loops). Lineage: Bacteria; Pseudomonadati; Bacteroidota. The record is from RNAcentral.